Molecule: long non-coding RNA, 1041 nt
Filed under: Anolis carolinensis (green anole)
Lineage: Eukaryota; Metazoa; Chordata; Lepidosauria; Squamata; Anolidae
Description: lncRNA (ENSACAG00000039970.1)
Source: RNAcentral
AUGCAGGAGCAUACAACCAAAGCACUCCCAAGAGAUGAUCCUCCAACCUGUUGUCGAAGGCUUUCAUGGCCAGGAUCACAGGGUUGUUGUAUGUCUUUCGGGCUGUGUGGCCAUGUUCCAGAAGCAUUCUCUCCUGACGUUUCGCCCACAUCUAUGGCAGGCAUCCUCAGAGGUUGUGAGGUAUUGGGCCACACAGUUUACAGAAAACCUACACAUACAGAUAGAUACCUUCAUAAAAACUCCAACCAUCACCCAAGUCAAAAAAGGAGCACAAUCAAAGCCCUGACAGACUGUGCACAAAGAAUCUGCGAACCUCACCUCCUCCAAGGUGAACUCAACCACCUAAACUGGGCUCUACAGGCCAAUGGAUACUCCACCACAGACAUCAGAAGAGCUGCAAGGCGAAGAACGAGCCAUGAGAGUCAAGACAAAGAUCCACCCAGAGGAAAGGUGUUCUUACCAUACAUCAAGGGAACUACUGACCGCAUAGGGAAGCUGAUGAAGAAGCACAACCUACAAACUAUCUACAGACCCACGAAGAAAAUCCAACAAAUGCUACGGUCAGCGAAGGACAAGAGGGAUCCUCUCUCUUCUGCAGGAGUCUACCGGAUACCAUGCAGCUGUGGACAAGUCUACAUAGGGACCACCAAACGCAGCGCCCAAACAAGAGUCAAAGAACAUGAAAGGCACUGCAGACUAAUUCAACCAGAGAACUCAGCCAUAGCAGAGCAUUUGAUGAACCAGCCUGGACACAGAAUACUAUUUGAGAACACAAAAAUGCUGGACCAUUCUAACAACUAUCAUGUCAGACUACACAGAGAAGCCAUUGAAAUCCACAAGCAUGUGGACAACUUCAACAGAAAGGAAGAAACCAUGAAAAUGAACAAAAUCUGGCUACCAGUAUUAAAAAACUCAAAAAUCAGAACAAUAAAUAAAAAGCAAUACUCUGAAAACAGAGGAUUUCCAGACAUGAAUCAACCUAGGGCAGUUAACGACUCUAAACAAAGGAUGCCCCAGAGGCAGGAAGAAGACAGCAGAUAA